GAUGAACGCUGGCGGCGUGCCUAAUACAUGCAAGUCGAGCGAACGGACGAGAAGCUUUCUUCUCUGCUGUUAGCGGCGGACGGGUGAGUAACACGUGGAUAACCUACCUAUAAGACUGGGAUAACUUCGGGAAACCGGAGCUACUACCGGAUAAUAUUUUGAACCGCAUGGUUCAAAAGUGAAAGACGGUCUUGCUGUCACUUAUAGAUGGAUCCGCGCUGCAUUAGCUAGUUGGUAAGGUAACGGCUUACCAAGGCAACGAUGCAUAGCCGACCUGAGAGGGUGAUCAGCCACACUGGAACUGAGACACGGUCCAGACUCCUACGGGAGGCAGCAGUAGGGAAUCUUCCGCAAUGGGCGAAAGCCUGACGGAGCAACGCCGCGUGAGUGAUGAAGGUCUUCGGAUCGUAAAACUCUGUUAUUAGGGAAGAACAUAUGUGUAAGUAACUGUGCACAUCUUGACGGUACCUAAUCAGAAAGCCACGGCUAACUACGUG
RNAcentral lists this ribosomal RNA (497 nucleotides) under uncultured bacterium. RNAcentral's name for it is "partial 16S ribosomal RNA". It matches the Rfam family "Bacterial small subunit ribosomal RNA", at positions 28 to 507 of the family's 1533-position model. The record is from RNAcentral.